GUCACUAUAGUUUAACAAAAUAUUAGAAUGUGGACCUAAAGAUAGAAGUUUAACCCUUCUUAAUGACCG
Molecule: transfer RNA, 69 nt
Filed under: Nannoscincus mariei
Lineage: Eukaryota; Metazoa; Chordata; Lepidosauria; Squamata; Scincidae
Description: tRNA-His
Rfam family: tRNA
About the family: Transfer RNA (tRNA) molecules are approximately 80 nucleotides in length. Their secondary structure includes four short double-helical elements and three loops (D, anti-codon, and T loops).
Source: RNAcentral